UUACCAGACUCCUACGGGAGGCAGCAGUGAGGAAUAUUGGUCAAUGGCCGGAAGGCUGAACCAGCCAAGCCGCGUGAAGGACGAAGGUGCCAAGCAUUGUAAACUUCUUUUGUCAAGGGACAAAAUCAGGCUCGAGAGCCUGACCGAGGGUACUUGAAGAAAAAGCAUCGGCUAACUCCGUGCCAGCAGCCGCGGUAAUACGGAGGAUGCGAGCGUUAUCCGGAUUUACUGGGUGUAAAGGGCGUGUAGCCGGGUUGACAAGUCAGAUGUGAAAUCCUGCGGCUUAACCGCAGAACUGCAUUUGAAACUGUUGAUCUUGAGUACUGGAGAGGCAGACGGAAUUCCUAGUGUAGCGGUGAAAUGCGUAGAUAUUAGGAGGAACACCAGUGGCGAAGGCGGUCUGCUGGACAGCAACUGACGGUGAGGCGCGAAAGCGUGGGGAGCAAACAGGAUUAGAUACCCGCGUAC
RNAcentral lists this ribosomal RNA (468 nucleotides) under uncultured bacterium. RNAcentral describes it as "bacterial SSU rRNA". It matches the Rfam family "Bacterial small subunit ribosomal RNA", at positions 328 to 793 of the family's 1533-position model. The record is from RNAcentral.